CGUUUAUAGAAAUAAUUAUAAAUAGGUUCUGCCCACUGAAGAAUUGAAUGGCUGCAGUAUUCUGACUGUACUAAGGUAGCAUAAUCAUUAGUUUCUUAAUUGGAAACUGGAAUGAAAGAAUUGACAAAAUUUUAAUUGUCUCAAUUUAAAAGAAUGAAUUUAAAUUUUAAGUUAAAAUGCUUAAAUUUAAUUAAAAGACGAGAAGACCCUAUAGAAUUUUAUUUAAAUUAUUUUAUAGUAAUUAUUAAAAAAUUAUGUAAAAAUAAUUUAAAUUUGGUUGGGGUGAUAAUUUAAUUGAAUUAACUUAUAUAUUAGUGAACAUAGAUGAAUGAAUAAUUGAUUGGAUUUAAGGAAUCAUUAAUAGAAAAAAUUACCUUAGGGAUAACAGCGUGAUAUUUUUGGAGAGUUCAUAUUGAUAAAAAUGUUUGCGACCUCGAUGUUGAAUUAAGAUAUCAUUUAAUUGCAGAAGGUUAAAUUGUUAGUCUGUUCGACUAUUAAAAUCUUACA
Molecule: ribosomal RNA, 507 nt
Filed under: Jugurtia braunsiella
Lineage: Eukaryota; Metazoa; Arthropoda; Insecta; Hymenoptera; Vespidae
Description: partial 16S ribosomal RNA
Rfam family: Bacterial large subunit ribosomal RNA
Source: RNAcentral